CCUACGGGAGGCAGCAGUGGGGAAUAUUGGACAAUGGGGGGAACCCUGAUCCAGCCAUGCCGCGUGUGUGAAGAAGGCCUUAUGGUUGUAAAGCACUUUAAGCGAGGAGGAGGAGCUCUAGGCUAAUAUCCUAGAUGCUUGGACGUUACUCGCAGAAUAAGCACCGGCUAACUCUGUGCCAGCAGCCGCGGUAAUACAGAGGGUGCGAGCGUUAAUCGGAUUUACUGGGCGUAAAGCGUACGUAGGCGGCUUUUUAAGUCGGAUGUGAAAUCCCUGAGCUUAACUUAGGAAUUGCAUUCGAUACUGGGAAGCUAGAGUAUGGGAGAGGAUGGUAGAAUUCCAGGUGUAGCGGUGAAAUGCGUAGAGAUCUGGAGGAAUACCGAUGGCGAAGGCAGCCAUCUGGCCUAAUACUGACACUGAGGUACGAAAGCAUGGGGAG
This 439-nucleotide ribosomal RNA is filed under the name Acinetobacter guillouiae. RNAcentral's name for it is "bacterial SSU rRNA". It matches the Rfam family "Bacterial small subunit ribosomal RNA", at positions 338 to 768 of the family's 1533-position model. The record is from RNAcentral. Lineage: Bacteria; Pseudomonadati; Pseudomonadota; Gammaproteobacteria; Moraxellales; Moraxellaceae.